Molecule: long non-coding RNA, 688 nt
Organism: Zalophus californianus (California sea lion)
Lineage: Eukaryota; Metazoa; Chordata; Mammalia; Carnivora; Otariidae
Exons: 3
Source: RefSeq, a predicted model, not a curated record
AUCUCUACACCCAACGUGGGGCUUGAACUCACGACCCUGAGAUCAAGAAUCACAUGCUCUUUUGACUGAGGCAGCCGGGCGCCCCAGGACAGACAUCUGACCUGGGAAGAAGGGCUGCUCUGGCCAUGAAGGAGCUGUCCCCUGGACAGAGAACCGAGCCUGCCCCACCUACAGGCAACACCCAUGAUCUCUGAGCAGACUGAACACUGGGCCUCAGAGAACACAGUUUGCACAUUCUGGGCAGCCGAAAUGAUAAUCUAAAGAAGGUGCCACUGCUCGAUGGGAGAGUCCUCAGAAGAAGUCCCCUUCUCUCCGUCUCUCCUGCUCAAGCCCCAGGGGAGAGGAGGUGGUUAGGAGCAGGUGCUGCUGGGGGAGAAUUGUGGCUAGACUCUUCCUCCCCUGGAGGCCGUAGAAUAUGACUCAACAGACCAAGGUCAAAGCUGUUCUGGGCAGGAUCCCCAGCUGGGAUGACCACUGUGUGACCACUGGCUGCCCAAAGCAUCGGAUUCUCUCUGGGACAGCUGGGUUUAAGGUCAUGCGAGCCUGCUCUCCAGCGGCUGUUACUAUGGUGAUUCCAGGGCUGGUUGCUCUUCCUUCUUAGAUGGUUGGUUAGGUCCACCAUGGAACUCUUGCUUUCAAUUCCCAGAUCUACUUUUGUCUCAUAUUCCUCAUCUCAGAACUGGAACUU